This 240-nucleotide ribosomal RNA is filed under the name uncultured Lactobacillus sp. Its description in RNAcentral is "partial 16S ribosomal RNA". It matches the Rfam family "Bacterial small subunit ribosomal RNA", at positions 122 to 355 of the family's 1533-position model. The record is from RNAcentral. Lineage: Bacteria; Bacillati; Bacillota; Bacilli; Lactobacillales; Lactobacillaceae.
UAACCUGCCCAAGAGAUCGGGAUAACACCUGGAAACAGAUGCUAAUACCGGAUAANAACAGAUGAUGCCUAUCAACUGUUUAAAAGAUGGUUCUGCUAUCACUCUUGGAUGGACCUGCGGUGCAUUAGCUAGUUGGUAGGGUAACGGCCUACCAAGGCGAUGAUGCAUAGCCGAGUUGAGAGACUGAUCGGCCACAUUGGGACUGAGACACGGCCCAAACUCCUACGGGAGGCAGCAGUA